UGGCCCCUUAACUCCGAAGCUGGAACUAGUGAGAGAGACUGUGAGCAGGUGACCAGGCUUGCUGGGUCUUCGGUGGAGGCCAUUCCCUUAAGGGGCGGAACUCCAACCGAAGCAAAAAGGACUGUGGUCUGACACCGGUUGGGUCCCCAGCCAGAGGACUCUAACAGCAGGAAGAUGAAAGAGACUCCACCUGGACAGAUUCCCCCCAUCCCGGGGCCUGAACUUCACAGGUGGGGGUGGGGGAAGCUUCAAGCACUGGGGAUUCCCUUUGCCCUCUCUCUGACCUCCCUGCCCCCCUCCCCCAGCCUUGGGGCACCCUCAGCUGGCCAGCCCCUGGGGGAGGGGAGGGACCAGGACAACGAGCAUCUGUGACUGGGGUUACCCCCUGCCAGGGGGCACUGGGCAGGGAGUCACCAAGGGGAUCCCGCCCAGGGCGGGGGUGUGGAGGAUGGGCACUGGCGAGAACACACACAGGAGCUGGCCCAUCUGCUCCCUCCAGGGUCCCUGGGGACAAGACCUAGAUGAGACACUGAGGCUCAGAAGAACAGACUUGUCCAAUGUCACACAGCCAGAACGCAGGCUCCCUACCUACUGCCACUCCCCUCCUUUCCCUUCAGUCACCCUUAGCCACCCACUGCAGGUCUCAACACCUUCCUGGUCAGGAAAUCCCUUUUCACGUCUAACCUCCAUUCAUCUUACUACAAUGUGGGUGCCUCCGUAUUGGGUAGGAAUGGAGGCUGCCUUCAGAAGAGCUCAUGCCCAGAGAACCCACUUUUGUGAAUUAGUCUCAGAAUGGUUCUGGGGCCGGGAGCUGGAGGCUUACCCGGGGGCAUCUGGCCUCUCCUUCGCCCCAGAUCACCCCCUGUAGGCCACCCAUGUGGGCCUGCAUUGUGUGUAUCUGAGAGUGAGGUGUUUCUUUCUGAGUGUGUGUCUGGAUGUGCUUGUCUGUUAUGUGCCUGUGUCUCACCUGGAUGUUACCUCUGUGUGGUCAUGGUUCUGUCUGUCUGUCUGUCUCUCUGUCUGUCAGUGUACUGUUUGCCUGUAUUUAUCUGUUUCUUGACUAGCGUAUUGGUGUGUAGAGCUGUGUGACCCACUCUGUCUGCCUAUGUACUAGGUGCCUAUCUGUCUUGCUAGGUGUCUUUGUAUCUGUGUGGGCGUCUGUUUGUGUCUGUUCGGGAGUUUUAGCUGUCUGCCUAUCCUUGCCUGUCUGUCUGUCCAUGCUUAGGAAACAGGAACACAGAGCCGGGGAAGAGAGCAGAGGCAAGAGCAUGGCUCCCAGGUCCCUCGUCGUCACUGAGCUUGGUGCUGAUCCGGCCCCUGUGGGACCUUGUGACUCACUGGGUCCCUGGCCAAAAAGGAGAGGGAAAGGGCAGGGCUCUGGGGGAGGGCCUGGAGCCCCACUUUCCUUUUCCAUGGCCCCACCUCCUUCCUGGUGACUCAUUCUUGUCCUAGGGCCUGGGGUGGAACAACAGUUGAGGUGGUGGCAGCAGGCCUUACUCUCAGAGCCCUUUGGCCUCCUGGGAGGCAGGUGGCCUGCAGCUCCGCAGUGACUCUGUCCUCCCUCACUUGUGACCCUGGGCCGACACGGCCCCUCUCUGGGCCUGGGUUUCCCAUGUGUACCUGGAUGCUCCAUUUUGAUGCUCUUUUCUUUCUACAAAGGGAGGUGAAGCUAAAAAGGGGCAGUGACAUGCCCAAGGUCACACAGCAGAGAAGAGGUCCAGGCCUCCUCUCCUCUCUGCGGGAGUCCCGCGCUCCCCCCUACCCAUCCCGCUUCCCCAGCUGCUCUGGGUGCUCAGAAAGGGCCAUUCUCCUCUGGAAGCAGAGCAGGGCCUCCUGGAGAGACAAAGACCCAUUGUGCUCUGCUCAACCCAGGUCUGCGGCCCAGGACCCACUACUCGAGUCUUGGGGACUCAAGGAUUUGGAUCCCAAAUGGCACCCCAGUGAGGGCUGAGGGUCCCUGUGGUCAGCUGGACCUGUCCAGAGCUUGCAGCAGUGAUGCCUGGAGCUGAAUCCGAGAUCUAGGCCAGGCCUAAUGUUGUCCGUGUUGGGCCCUGUCGGGACAUGUCAGGCUUCCUGGAGCCCGUUGGGCUGUGUUAUCAAAGCAUUGCCCCUGGGGCCGUGUGACAGAAUGUGGCACUACUGGAGCAUGCGGAAGCUCGUGAUCGAUAAGAUUCGGGGCCACGUGGAAGUAUGUUGUCCUGUGGAAUGCUUUACUGUUUGAUUUUCUCAUUCAUUCCACAAUAUUCCAAUAAAUAUUUAUUGAGCAUUUACUAUGUGCCAGGCUCUGUGCUAGAGGCUAAGUGUUCAAGGUUAAGCCAGACUGUUCUAUUGUCUUCAAGCUAAUAGGAAGACAGACAAAUAAACAAGCAGACAAACAUAUCAAUCAUCAUUCCACCAGGUAAAGGACUAUGGAAGCAGUGCUCCUGGCUCAGGAACCUGGAGUGAUGUGAAGGUCAAGGGGGUCUCAGAGAGAGGGUGACUUUUGAGUUGAGACCAAAAGACAAGAAGGAGGACCAUUCCUAGAGUCCAGGGGAGGGUGUCCCAGGAAGCCGGGUCAGCAUGAGCCAUGGCCCUGGGGCCUGGCAUAAGUUGGUCUGUUUGAGACACAGAAGGCAGCCCAGAGUGGCCGCGCUAUGGUGAACGAGGGGCGCAGAGGAGCAAGAUGAGGCUGGGAGGUGGGCUGGGCAGCCCAUCAUGCAGGACCCUCAGGCUGUAGUCUGGAGCUGGAAUUGUCUCCUGAACAGGUUUAAAGAGAUUUAAACGUGGCACUGAAAUCAUCUGAUUUACACCUGCCUGCUCUGUAGAGGAGGAUGACCACCAGGUAAGAGUGGAUUCAGAGGGGCCUGGUAGGAGGCGGUGGUAUAACCCAGGCUAGGGGUGCUGAGGCUUGAACAAGGCUGGUGGCCAUGCAGAUUGUGCGAAGCAGGCCUGCUGGGGACCUGUUCUGGAGGUGCAAGUGGCAGGACUUUCUGAAGGAUCAGAUGUGAUGGGUGAGAGAGGCGAGGAAUUGAGGAGGACUUCCAGGUUUCUAGCCUGGUGGGUUGAAGACAGCCGCAAAAUCUCAGCUGCUUAAAAAAAAAAUCUAUGCUGUUCGCCUCCUCAGAGUCCAGGCAGGCUCAGGGACAGCUUGGCCAAUGAGAUCUACAGAGGCGUAUGAUGGUUUCCAGCUCAGACUGGAAAAGCAGGAGACGGACAGAGCCUGGGACACUCCUCUGUCAGAAGUUCGGCCGAGAGGAGGGGACAGUACAGUAGACUGAGCAGUCUGGGAGGAAGGAGGGGGACCAGGUGAGAGAAGGGCCAGGAAGCCAAGAGAAGAGAGUGUUUUAAGAAAGAGGGGUAGUUGCCUGUGCGGAAUGCUGCCCAGAGUAAGCCGAGGACAGAGACGUGUCCACUAUAUUUGGCAGCAAGGACAUCAGGGCAACCUUGAUGGUGCAGUCUUAGUGGAAGAAUGAGGACAGAAGCUGACUGGUAUGGGUGGAACAGCAAAUAGGAGCCAAUGAACCAGAGAGAACAACCGUUGGCAACUUUUAGAAAGUCUUAAUGCAAAGGGAAGCAGAGAGAUGGUGCUUUGGCUAGAAUGAAAUAGGGUCAAGCGAGAGUUUUGUCCAAAUAUGAAGAAUAUAAUACCGUGUCCCUGUGCUGAUGGCCAGGAAUUGGGGAGGAACUGACGGUACAGAGAGAGAGGAGAUCACCCAGGAUCAAAGUUCUUGACAAAGUAAGAGGGAGGGGACCCAGAGCACAGGAGGACAGAGCUGGCCUUUGAUAGGGGCAGGGAUAGUUGUCUGGGAGGCAGAGGAAGAGGAGGUGGAUUUGUAGAACUAGCCAUGCAAAGCUCAGGGAAACUCCUCGGAUGGUUUCUCGUAUUUUUCUAUGGAGUGGAAGCAAGUUACAGCCAAAGCGAGACAGGAAAAGAGGGGGGGAGGCAGAACCCAGGAUUAGAUGUGAAAUAGUUAUCACAACCAAGCCCACUGGAGAAACAGAGUAGGAUUUCCGGCAGUGCGGAGCGACCAUUCGAAGUUGCUGACCGUGAAUUUGUAACGACCCUGGCCUGCCAGGCUAUUUGAUAGUGUGUUUUCUGCCCUACAAUGGCGUGUGCCAAGCAUGGGCCUUUCCCAGGUAAUCCAAUUAUCUCCAUUGACAGAUGAGCCAGUCAAGACUCAGAAAGACUUCCUGGCUUGCCCAAGGUCGCACAGCUGGUAGGGGCAGAGCAGGACCUUGGGCCCAACCCCUGAACGCCUCUGCAGAGGCCAAAGCUGUCCAAGGUCUAAGUAGACUAUCUUACUUGGUAGUGUUCGUGGUCGCCCGUUGUGGAUGCAAGUGAGGAAACGCAGAAAAGAGAAACACAGCUUUCCCUUUCCUGUAAUACUUCUGUAUGUUGGUGCUUGGGCCAGUUGUGUACAAAGGGCCGUGAGGGCUGCUUCUCUGUAAAGUGUAUUUGCUGAAUAACCACACCAUUUCUCCAUCUCUAGCGAUAGCUAAAUUGCUAGCUUCUUUCAACCCUGGUCCAGGAGUGCCGAGACAUUUGGGGUUAACGGCUCCUCCCCAUCUCUUAACUAUCUGCCCUUCUUCGAUUCAGUGUUACUUUCACUUAGAGAGCUCUCCCAGGAACACUAAGCUUGGUGUUAUCACCAGCAAACAUCUUAGAAAGCUGGUCUUCCACUGCCUGUUUACAGAAGUAUUUCCACACCUUGCUUGUGUUUCCAGGAAUUCCUCAUCUUCCUGGCCAGGAAUAUUAACAGACAGGUCUUGAAAAGUGCAAGAGGCUUUUUCUGUGGCUGCAAGCACAUUGAACACUUUUUCCUUUUAACCCCUAAGCAGUAAGUAACGAAGUCCCAAAGGUUGGGUAAAAACCAAUCUGAUAGAAAGAGUCACUUUUAAAAACUACAUCCUCAGGGGGAAAAACUGUGAUGUGACCUUAGUGGUUCUAAGGGGUUAAAUGGAGCCCCAUCCACCCACCCCCAUCAUGUCCAAGUCCUGACCUAAGACCUAGACCUGUGACUGUGACCUUAUUUGGAAAAAGAGUCUUUGCAGAGAAAUUAAGGAUCUUGAGAUGAGAUCAUCCUGGAUAUAGGGGAGUGAGGGUGGGGUGCUAAAUCCACUGACAAGUGUCCUUAUAAGAGACACACAGAUGCAUUGGAGGUGGCAGUGUGACCAAGGAUGCAGAGAUUAGAGUGAUGUGGCCACAAGUCCACAAGUCAAGGAACCCCUGAAGCCACCAGAAGCUGGAGUAGGCAAGAAGCAGUCUCCCCUAGAGCCUCCAGAGACAGAAUGACACCUUGAUUUUGAACUUCUGGCCUCCAGAACUAGCCUGGGAGGCCUGACAUCUGUGUGUCAAUCAGUGUGCCAAGUUCAAGGCUGCAUGCGGAUGGAGCCAGCACCAAGCAGCUUGUGUUGGCAGAAGCAGAACAAACUGGCUCACACAAAUCGACUUAUCACAACAUGGUUCAAGCUCUCAUCGGCAGUGACUGAACCUACAUUAAGGUUCAGAGCACAGACUCAGUGGCCGGAUGGAGUAGGUUCAAAUCCUGGCUCCACCUCUCAGUGACUCGCAAGCUUCUUAUACUCUCUGGGCCUCAGUUUCUCCACAGGUUCCAAUGAGGACACCGAUAACAGUCCCACUUGCAGGGUGAUUGUCAGACUUGAUCAGUGUAAAGCCCCUGGACUUGACCAUGCUGACAUAUCACAAGUGCGAGAUGAGUGUCUGCUAUUAUUACAAUAACCCAAAUCAAAACAGGCACAAAUGAGCUCAGAAUAAUCGAAGAGAUGUAAAUAUGCUAAUGGACAGGAGGGAAGGGGACAGGGCACAACCAUGAAAGGAAUGACACAGCAAUUGAAGAUUCAACUCCCUGGAGACCUUGAGGCCCAAGAUGGCGGGAGAUUUGACUCCCAGUAGACCUUGAGCUUCACUGAAAUCUCACUGUAAUACAUUGGCAUGAGAAAUGACACUCCACAGGCACUGUGAUCGGUCUGAGGCUGGCUAUAAAAGAUCAAAAAGUGGGCAGUGGCCCAGUUCUUGGGCGUCCCUGCCCCUUCCCCAAAGUAGUUAGACUGAUCCUCCCACUUGUUAGCAUAUGAAGUUUCUAAGCCCAUGAAAACUAGCAACACUGCACCUUGUGGUCGCUCUCUCUUGCCUUCUGAGACGGCCGGCAUGCUAUGGAGUGUGCAUCUCUCUGAAUAAAUCUACUUUUACUCAA
Molecule: non-coding RNA, 6194 nt
Organism: Vicugna pacos (alpaca)
Lineage: Eukaryota; Metazoa; Chordata; Mammalia; Artiodactyla; Camelidae
Source: RefSeq, a predicted model, not a curated record